This 537-nucleotide ribosomal RNA is filed under the name uncultured bacterium. RNAcentral describes it as "bacterial SSU rRNA". It matches the Rfam family "Bacterial small subunit ribosomal RNA", at positions 373 to 901 of the family's 1533-position model. The record is from RNAcentral.
GGGCGAAAGCCUGAUGGAGCAACGCCGCGUGAGUGAAGAAGGAUUUCGGUUCGUAAAACUCUGUUGUAAGGGAAGAACAAGUACAGUAGUAACUGGCUGUACCUUGACGGUACCUUAUUAGAAAGCCACGGCUAACUACGUGCCAGCAGCCGCGGUAAUACGUAGGUGGCAAGCGUUGUCCGAAAUUAUUGGGCGUAAAGCGCGCGCAGGUAGUUUCUUAAGUCUGAUGUGAAAGCCCACGGCUCAACCGUGGAGGGUCAUUGGAAACUGGGAGACUUGAGUGCAGAAGAGGAUAGUGGAAUUCCAAGUGUAGCGGUGAAAUGCGUAGAGAUUUGGAGGAACACCAGUGGCGAAGGCGACUAUCUGGUCUGUAACUGACACUGAGGCGCGAAAGCGUGGGGAGCAAACAGGAUUAGAUACCCUGGUAGUCCACGCCGUAAACGAUGAGUGCUAAGUGUUAGGGGGUUUCCGCCCCUUAGUGCUGCAGCUAACGCAUUAAGCACUCCGCCUGGGGAGUACGGUCGCAAGACUGAAACU